This 201-nucleotide ribosomal RNA is filed under the name Clostridioides difficile. Its description in RNAcentral is "partial 23S ribosomal RNA". It matches the Rfam family "Bacterial large subunit ribosomal RNA", at positions 1035 to 1242 of the family's 2925-position model. The record is from RNAcentral. Lineage: Bacteria; Bacillati; Bacillota; Clostridia; Peptostreptococcales; Peptostreptococcaceae.
UCAGCUAAGGUCCCUAAAUGUAAGUUAAGUGGUAAAGGAUGUGGGAUUGCACAGACAACCAGGAUGUUGGCUUAGAAGCAGCCACUCAUUCAAAGAGUGCGUAAUAGCUCACUGGUCGAGUGAUCCUGCGCCGAAGAUUUCCGGGGCUAAAACUUACUACCGAAGCUACGGCAUCAGUAAUGAUGGGUAGGGGAGCUUCCC